Triticum aestivum (bread wheat) is the source of this 134-nucleotide non-coding RNA. NCBI's taxonomy places the organism in Eukaryota, Viridiplantae, Streptophyta, Magnoliopsida, Poales, Poaceae. The record is from Rfam.
GUAGUACUCCCUCCGUCCAGAAAUACUUGUCAUCAAAAUGAAUAAAAGGGGAUGUAUCUAGAUGUAUAUUAGUACUAGAUACAUCUUUUUUAUCCAUUUUGAUGACAAGUAUUUUUGGACGGAGGGAGUACUUG